CUUGUUAAGCAGUCAGUCAACAUUUAUUUCCUUAUCAUCAGGGAUCACUUUUCCAUUUGCAGUAGGAUUACAUGAGCGCAGGUCUGUAAAUCAGAUUACAUGAGCGCAGGUCUGUAAAUCAGAUUACAUGAGCGCAGGUCUGUAAAUCAGAUUACAUGAGCACAGGUCUGUAAAUCAGAUUACAUGAGCGCAGGUCUGUAAAUCAGAUUACAUGAGCGCAGGUCUGUAAAUCAGAUUACAUGAGCGCAGGUCUGUAAAUCAGAUUACAUGAGCACAGGUCUGUAAAUCAGAUUACAUGAGCACAGGUCUGUAAAUCAGAUUACAUGAGCACAGGUCUGUAAAUCAGAUUACAUGAGCGCAGGUCUGUAAAUCAGAUUACACGACCACAGGUUUGCAAAGAGAGCAAAUGUAUAGAUUAAUUAAUGUUUAUACAUUAUUUAACAUUUUAAUAUUAAUUUUACUUUUCUCAUUCGGGAAACCAGGGUCAUAUGGAACAAGACGAGUGCCCUACAAGAUCCCCAAAUACACCCUCCCCUCAACCCCCUACAACAGCCCCAAAUACACCC
This is a long non-coding RNA of Oncorhynchus keta (chum salmon), 566 nucleotides long. RefSeq lists it as uncharacterized. Lineage: Eukaryota; Metazoa; Chordata; Actinopteri; Salmoniformes; Salmonidae. The transcript has 5 exons. The record is from RefSeq and is a predicted model, not a curated record.